This 497-nucleotide ribosomal RNA is filed under the name uncultured bacterium. RNAcentral describes it as "bacterial SSU rRNA". It matches the Rfam family "Bacterial small subunit ribosomal RNA", at positions 28 to 525 of the family's 1533-position model. The record is from RNAcentral.
GAUGAACGCUGGCGGCGUGCCUAACACAUGCAAGUCGAGCGUGAACCGUCUGAAUGAAACUUCGGUCGAGUGAGGAUGGGGAAAGCGGCGGACGGGUGAGUAACGCGUAGGCAACCUGCCCCGUACAGAGGGAUAGCCUCGGGAAACCGGGAUUAAGACCUCAUAAUACCAUUAUCUCACAUGUGAUAAUGGUCAAAGAUUUUAUCGGUAUGGGAUGGGCCUGCGUCUGAUUAGCUGGUUGGUGGGGUAACGGCUCACCAAGGCGACGAUCAGUAGCCGACCUGAGAGGGUAAUCGGCCACAUUGGAACUGAGACACGGUCCAAACUCCUACGGGAGGCAGCAGUGGGGAAUAUUGCACAAUGGGCGAAAGCCUGAUGCAGCAACGCCGCGUGAGCGAGGAAGGCCUUUGGGUCGUAAAGCUCUGUCGAGGAGGAAGAUAAUGACGGUACCGCAAGAAUAAGCCCGGCGUAACUUCGUGCCAGCAGCCGCGGUAACU